AGGGUGUAAACGCUGCAGACCUGGUGUUGGAAAUCCUUCGAGGGUAUUCAGUGCCGGAGAGAAGUUGUUAAGUCUGCUACUUGGGGAGUACGUCCGCAAGGAUGAACUUAAAGGAUUGGCGGGGGAGCACCGCAACGGGAGGAGCGUGCGGUUUAAUUGGAUUCAACACCGGAAAACUCACCAGGGGAGACUGUUACAUGAAACCCAGACUAAUGAUCUUGGUUGAUUUUCAGAGAGGAGGUGCAUGGCGUCAGUGACU
Molecule: ribosomal RNA, 259 nt
Filed under: uncultured archaeon
Lineage: Archaea
Description: partial 16S ribosomal RNA
Rfam family: Archaeal small subunit ribosomal RNA
Source: RNAcentral